GCCUGGGCUACAAGGAGAAGUCCGGCGCGGUGAGGAACCGCAAGCAGCAGCCGCCGGCGCAGCCGUCCACCUGCAUCUGACCCGGCCCCGCCCCCCUGGCCCCGCCCCCAGCUCCCUGCCCCGCCCCAGCCCUUCUGCGCUCAGCCGCCAUGGACAACUGGGGGGCGGGGCCAAUGGAUGCUGUUGGCAAAAGUCUUGCACGUCAAAAUGGAGGGGCGUUGAUUGACGGCGUUCUGGAGAAGUUCCCGGCAGUGGAGGCGGGCGGGGGGGAAUGGGGGCCCACUUACCUGCACAUCUGAUGGACGGUGCCCUGUUAAAAAACCAAAAAGGAAGAGAGAGACGCUACGCUACGCUGAGUGGGAGGGGCAUGUUUCUCCCGCCCUCCUGACUGCUCGCCUGGUUCCGCGCUGCUGCCCACAGAGACGUCGGCUCACUUAAUUUAUUCUCUUUUUUUGAUUAUUAUUAUUAUUUUUUUAAUCAUUGCGACAAACAGGAUUCUGUACGUUUUAUUUGCCAUGGAAACAUUUCAGCACGGGGGAGAGUCAAACUCACGCCAUUCCGCAUCUGGAGAAACUGUUUAAUUUUUAAUUUUAUUUUUUUUAAACAUUUUUUUGGGUGUGUGUCUGCAAUCAAAAAAAAAAUUUCUUUUUGUUUUUAUCACCAGAAAUGUGAAAUGUAGCCUUUUUCCUUACUGAAGGUGACCAUCUACCUUAUCAGUAACUAAGAGCACAAGCUAAUUGGAAAUCCAUGUGUGGUCAUAGCCUAACUAUGUCUAGAUUGAUUUUUUGUAAAAAACAUUAUUUAUAAAUCACUUUUCAUUAUAUAAACACACGGACCCCAAGAACUAGGCUGUAGAUAUUGCUUCUUACAUUGUGUGUUCGGCUGAUUUGUGUCCUGCAGUGUGGAAUUUGGAUUUGUAUCCAUUUUAGCAUAUUGCUAACAGUUAGAGGGGAUGCAAGCAAUUUAACAGGCAUUCUGGGUAAUGUAGGCAGUUGGGAAAGAAGUAAGGAGACUUAUGUUUGGCAUAAAUGGCAUGUUUUAAUUAAAAGUUUCUGCAUAAAUACAUGGCCUAAACAACCGGGAAACCACCCGUUCAGACCUGCGAUUCUCGCAUUGGGCCUCAUUCACAAAACGUGCGUACGAUCGCAUUUUAUCGCUAACUGUGCGUAGGAACGUUUCCUCAAACGUUUCAGCCAUUCGUCAUUCUUUUUCUUAUCUCUAUAUGGUCUGCACAUGCGUUAUGAAUCCCGUUUUGUUUUAAGAACAAUUUAAGAAAAGUUUUGUGAAUGAGGCCCAUUGAGACACGAACAGAAAUUACUCGUUUGAUUUUCACACAUUAAACACAUUUUUACCCUACGUGAACUCACCGAGCCAUAUCGAAUACAGAUUAAAUACAAAUUUUGUUACGAAAGAAGUGAACGCUCAUCUUCAUUUCACAACGUGAUUUGUCUAGACCAAUCAGAAAAGGCUGAAGUAGUUGGGCGUGCUGAAUUUGAGGCUGGGGCGGUUGUGUGUUUUAGGAGCGUUGUCUGGCUUUGACGGAGCUGAUGUAGGUCAGGAGGGAGCGUGUAUAAAGGCUGCUGCAUCCCUGCUUAAUUUAACGUUUUGUCCUGAUUUAGGAACGCGUCUGUGGGCAUUGUUAGCAGGGGCAGAGCAAUGCAUCUCCUUGAUGUUAUGGAAGUCUCUGCAUAUUUCCCUGACAGCAGGCAUUCGUCAGCCAUUUUUUAUUGUGUUUUUUUUUUUUUUUUUUGGGAAGGAUAUUACGGCAUGAAUCAUAAUUGUGCAAAAGAAAAAAAAAAAAAGGAUAGUGGGGUCAUUUUUAAAAUGGUGCUGUCAGAAGCCCUUGUCUCUCCUCUCUCAGAAAACGGCCAUUUUAAACGACAGCCUUCACUUUCUCACAGGUUGAUUCCCCCAAAAAAAAGAAAAAGAAAGAAAAUUGCUGUGCUUUUCACGUGAAAAACAGAAAGUAUUCUGAGCUUCUGUGUAAAUCCAUACAGUGGAACUUCAGAAUGCCAUCUCAUAUUCACAUAUUCAAUAUUCUUGGGGGGGGGGGGGGUGUGUAAAAGAUGCUGUGGCCAGUAUGAGAUUUUAAAAGGGGGGGGGGGGGGGAUGUACUCGGUGGACGUAAGAACCAAUUGCAGCCCUCCUAUUGGGCAGUGGAGCGGGACAACCCCAGUGCCAAAACUCCAGGCCCCCUGGCGUGGCCGAACGUCCCAUUUACCGCUCUCUUCCUCAAGAGAUCGCCCCGCCCCCGUACGCCCCGCCCAUGUACGCCGGUACCGUAUUUUAAAAAAAAAUUUGACAUUUCUGGCAGUUUCUGCCCUGGCAGGUCGCAGCACUUCAGACAGAACAGUCGGGCCUCAGGGAGCCAAUAACGGUCCUGUUUCCACAGCGCCAACCGGGUCCACUUCCUGUCUGUUAUUGAGUGGGCUCCCGCAGACCCGAAUCAGCCAAUCACUAAUGAGGCGAUUCUCUCGAGGGCUUUUGAGCUGAGGGAACAGCCCCCCCGCAAGGCUUUUCUGGAAAUUAAUAAAGACUGUGAGUUACAGUGGCUGCCCCCCCCCCCCACCUCCAAAUAGUCUACAGCGUGUCACAAUGGGGAUUGGGGGAUUUGGAGUGGUGAGGGUGGUAAAAUGACAUGGAAUAGGAGAGUGUGAUUGGCUGCAAUUAUGCCGUAUAUAUGCACUAGAGAAUAAGCCACAGCAUUAACUCCCAACUGCGGAGCUCCAGGGACUGCGGGGGUAUUGAUUUGGAUCGGAGCAGUUUGCAAUCUCAGUUUUCUUUCCUGUCACUCUUUUUUUUUUUUUCUUCUUAAAAAAAAAAAAAAAAAAAAAUCCAUAUUGCCACUUUUUGAGAAAUGCUAUGCCUGGCGGGAGAUCUGACCCCUGACUGCCUGCUGCCCGACCUGUGCGUCUGUAGCUGGACCAUUUUGCUUCGGAGUGAAUGUUCUGGAUUGACGGGAGGACUUAAUCACUUUUUUUUUUUUUUUUAACUGAAUGCCACAAGUCUGGCUGCCAAGGACUACAAACCUCUCGCCCCCCCCCCGCUUAAUAACAGUGCACUCCUUGGGCAAUAAUGUGGGAAAUUAUAAAUAUGAUAUGUAAUAUUAAAUGGACGUGACAUAAAUUGAUUGUAAUUUCAUAUGCCGCACGUUGUGCAGAGAUCACAAGGAUCGGUCCUUUCAGAGCAGAGUUAUUCCUGAGCCACGCCCCCCCUUCCCUGCCCCUAGUGACAUCGCCACCUCUAAAAACAGCUCUGGGCAGUUCCUGCUUCCCCUCAUAGAAGGAAGUAGGAAGUAGGAAGUUGAAGUUUUUUUUUUUUUUCUCCUCAUAACUUAUCUGGGGCUUUCUGGUCACACACAGACGCCCUUGAAAAUGUAGAUCUUUGCUUUGGGCUUUGCCCCGCGAGACACGGGUUUCCGACCUUGCCCCUGACCUCCUGCGUAUGCUUAUUUUUUUUAGCCGAGCGGCCAGCAGUAUCCCCCCGCUUAAGACUUAUUUUAAACACGCUGCAUGUUUUCGGCCCCGCUGUUUGCUUUUGUCUUUGAACUCCUCAUUUUCCUCGAAUGGAUUUGUUUCGGGGAGUCAUCAAUCACCGAGGGGCCCCACUGAUUUCGCCCGUCAGCCUAUAAUUGAGUCGGUUAUACAACGCAACCUCUCUCUGAGCGAAUCGCGGGUAAUAUGGCACAGAAAUCGUUAGCGUCGGAGGGCUGGCCGCAGCGACUGUCCUUGGAUGCGAGUGUAGGAAUUUUUUUGAGGUUUUCCUAGCUGUUGCUGACAUAAUUUGGCCGUGGAAGAGUGAAACUUCCCUCGACAGCCAUUAAAAACAAACUCAGUUUAAUAAACUCGGGUUGUAAUAAUGGUUCGCGGAAAAAAAAUAAAACUCCCAUCAUGCCCAGGGGGGACUGUUGGACCGAGUUUGGGAAGUCCUAAAAAUACCCCUCUUCCUGUAGACGUCUCCUGAAAGAGCUGUCAGGUGCAGUCGAGGAUGUGCACUAAAAGGUGCUUCAGUGCUGCCCUUCGGACGCAUGACUUCUUUACCAAUGUGAGCGCAGAGAGCAGCCAGCUGCCAGGACCUGGGCCCAGAGCAAGCAGCAGCAGCGUUUUAUAGAGAUUAGCAGUGGUGAGCUGCCAGGACCUGGGCACAGAGGAAAGGACAUCACCGUGUGGAGAUUAACCUGAGAACAAUAAUCUUAUUAUGUUGGCUAUAGUCAAGUGGUCUUUAUAUGACAUUAUUAGAGAUGGACCUUUAAGCAUUGGUCUGUUGCUAUACGCACACUCACACACAUUAUAUUUAUUGUGUAAAAUUUUGUCGGUGUGAACCCAGUGGGGGAGGGGCUUAUUGCAGAUUGCUAGUUUGGAAUAGCUCAGUUUAGCAUGGUGCAGUUUAGCAUAGCUCAGUUUAGCAUGGCGGAGUUUAGCAUAGCUCAGUUUAGCAUGGUGCAGUUUAGCAUAGCUCAGUUUAGCAUGGUGGAGUUUAGCAUAGCACAGUUUAGCAUAGCUCAGUUUAGCAUGGUGCAGUUUAGCAUAGCUCAGUUUAGCAUAGCACAGUUUAGCAUAGCUCAGUUUAGCAUGGUGCAGUUUAGCAUAGCACAGUUUAGCAUAGCUCAGUUUAGCAUUGCUCAGUUUAGCACAGCUCAGUUUAGCAUGGUGGAGUUUAGCUUAGCACAGUUUAGCAUGGUGGAGUUUAGCACAGCUCAGUUUAGCAUGGUGGAGUUUAGCUUAGCACAGUUUAGCACAGCUCAGUUUAGCAUGGUGGAGUUUAGCAUAGCUCAGUUUAGCAUGGUGGAGUUUAGCACAGCUCAGUUUAGCAUGGUGGAGUUUAGCAUAGCACAGUUUAGCAUGGUGGAGUUUAGCACAGCUCAGUUUAGCAUGGUGGAGUUUAGCAUAGCUCAGUUUAGCAUGGUGGAGUUUAGCAUAGCUCAGUUUAGCACUGCGGUAGUUCAGUACAGCACUCGCCUGUCCACAGGGCUUGCUCAGUGAGGGAUUUGCCGUGCUCAGCGGUGGUUUCGACUCUCUUGUCCUGAGUGACUUGUACAGAUUACAUUUCCGCGCACAAUCAGUUUACGCUGCAGGACAUUUCCUGAAGUAGUUCAAGGUUUUGCGACCUUGUUGAAGGGUACAGCAGCCGCAAGUGGGAAUCAAUCUCAGGUUUGACUUGCCGGACCAGCUACCCAAACGCUGUACAGCACUGCUGGCCCACAGCCGCUAGUCAGCAGAGAGGGGGAUUUUACAGUUAGGCCUUGGAGGGUUUCGGAAACCUUGCUCCACGUCAGUAGAAAUGCUGAGGCAGCUGUUUUUGUCCUCAUUGAUAUUUUCCCCCCCCCUGUUAGAAAUGUGGGUGUGAAGGAGCUCAUAGCCCGGCUGGUUCUCAUGAUGCGGCUGGUUUCUGUUUCAGUGAUGAAUGCAGAAUGCGUGCGAUCCUCCAAGACAGGUGAUUGAUGGAGGAGGUCGCAGCGAUGAAACAGGAGUUUGGGAACCCAAAAAAGAAAAACAGAAAUGCGGAAAGAAAAACAGUAGAAAAAAGGAAGUUUAUCUGACAGUUGUUUCCAAAAAAAAUAAAAAAAAUAGGUGCUCUUAUUUGAAUGUUUUUUUUUAAAAUCUUGCUUUCAAACUUUGAUCUAGUGAUAUGGUGCAGACACCGCAUACUGAAAUGCUAGCGUAAAGGUCUGUCUCUAAUGCAGUAAUUUCAUAUAAAUAUCCUCAUGUGCUAGGUUAGGCUUUGGAUAACUAUUCCCCAUUCUUCUGGAGCAACUUCGCAUGUAAGGGGACCGCCCAAUCUACGCCAAAUAGUUUUUUUUUUUUCCACAUUCCAGUCUCUCUGUUACCCAGACAGUCCUCUUGCUGGUGGCCAUUGUAGAUCAGUUUGGGUCUGGAGCCCUGCAGUGCUCUCUGGAUUUAGGGUUGACAGUUAAUGCAGGCUUUGUGAUUUGUAUGGAUUUAUUCAUGGAGAAGCCUUGUCUCUCCCUCAGACUUUUGACUGCUGUUCCGAUAAUGCAUUGGUGUAGAUUUGUCAUUCGAGCGGCUUGUAUGGCCGGUGGAAUUUGACGGGGCGAAAGAGUCUGUGUUCAGGAUCGCUCUCACAGGCCACAGGCUUUUCCAGCGAGAGAAUGUCUGAAGGAGGUCACAGUGGUUGAGGAGCAUGUCUCACGUAUGGAAAGUGGGGGCAGGAGCACCUCUCGUAUUCGGAAAGGAGGGUUCACCACCCUCCUGGUUUUUUUGUGGACGCUGGUGACAAGCAUGUGUCUGUCUGAACGUCAGGUGGCUCCUCCCCCAUGCAGGAAACCGCCAUCUGAACCAUGACGAGGUGCAGGAGCGUAUGCUAAAGGUAGUCCUAAGCAUCGCCUGUGGUCUGGCUUCUGAACCGUAACGAGGUGCAGGGGCGUAUGCUAACGAUGGCGCUAAGCAGCACCUGUGGUCUGGCACCUGAACCAUGACGAGGUGCUGGAGCGUAUGCUAACGAUAGGGCAGAGUACCUGUGGUCUGGCGCUCUCUGUCUGGCCAGAAGCCUGCGGUCUGCUGCAGGCAAACUGACAGCCUUUUGCAGGGCAUGCUGGGAGCGUCCACGCGUGAACCAAUCAGACUGCCGUCAUUAAGGAUCGCUUCCCAAGAACCUAAAUUGAAUUAAAAUUUAUGUACAUGUCCACAUACUUCAUUUAUUUUCACAGCAUGAUUUUGGCCCAACGUGUCCUCGCAGGCUAAGCCUCAUUCCUUUUCCACACACUUUUAGGGUCUAAUAUCUUCCCGCCAAUCACUUUAGCUCUGUGAAGAUCGUCUAAGGUGGAGACUGCACUGUUAAAAAAAAAAAAUAGAGAAUACUCAAAAUUUCAAGGCAAAGAAAGCUUUGAGCUUUGUGGGCAAGUUAUGCCCAGUAGCAUUCAUUAGUUCAGAAAACUCAAUUUUAAGUUUUUCUACCAAUGAAAUGUAAGUUUUCUGACUUAAAAAAAUCUAAGUAAAGCUCAAAACUUAUUUUUGUUAUGUGGCCUUGCAAUUUUCAGUAUUUUGAACUUUUGUAUGGGGUGGUGAUUAAAAAAUAAUCUGUGAGACACAAGGGCCUUGCCUGGUAUUUAUAUCCCCGCUACAGCAAGUGCUGGCCACAGACAGUAAAGCAAAAGGUCCGAGUUGUGUCCGGUGAACAUUUCCCAGAAUCCUCUCCUCCAUACUCCCAAGCCUCAAACUCCCAGAAUUCCCCCACUCUCCUCUCUGUAAACAGCCAUUGUAGAUACAGACAAAUAGUUUGUUAAUAUGUAUAAUUUAGCAUUGAUUGCACUCUUUUUUUUUCUUUUUUGUAAAUAAUGGGAAAGUAUUGUAAAAAUUUUCAUUUUUAUCUGGAAAGUUCUUGCUUAGACAGACAUUUAUGAACCUGGAGAAAUGCACUUUUGGUUCUAAAAUGUGGAUAAGGAACAUUUUUUUAUUGUAAAAUAACUAAUUUAAAAGUAAUCCAACACACUAGGAAUGGACAGAACAAUGUAAAAUGAGAAUAUUUUAACAGACCGUGUAACUAUAAAUACAUAACAGUAUGUACGUAUGUAUGUACUGUAGAGUUUUUGGUCUACAAUAAAAGUGUAAAAAUCCAAA
Anguilla rostrata (American eel) is the source of this 7577-nucleotide long non-coding RNA. RefSeq lists it as uncharacterized. The record is from RefSeq and is a predicted model, not a curated record. The transcript is spliced from 2 exons. NCBI's taxonomy places the organism in Eukaryota, Metazoa, Chordata, Actinopteri, Anguilliformes, Anguillidae.